RNAcentral lists this ribosomal RNA (508 nucleotides) under uncultured bacterium. Its description in RNAcentral is "partial 16S ribosomal RNA". It matches the Rfam family "Bacterial small subunit ribosomal RNA", at positions 30 to 523 of the family's 1533-position model. The record is from RNAcentral.
AUUGAACGCUGGCGGCAUGCCUUACACAUGCAAGUCGAACGGCAGCGGGGGAGAAGCUUGCUUUUCCUGCCGGCGAGUGGCGAACGGGUGAGUAAUACAUCGGAACGUGCCCUGUAGUGGGGGAUAACUAGUCGAAAGAUUAGCUAAUACCGCAUACGACCUGAGGGUGGAAGUGGGGGACCGAAAGGCCUCAGGCUGUCGGAGGCGCCGAUGUCUGAUUAGCUAGUUGGUGGGGUAAAGGCCUACCAAGGCGACGAUCAGUAGCUGGUCUGAGAGGACGAUCAGCCACACUGGGACUGAGACACGGCCCAGACUCCUACGGGAGGCAGCAGUGGGGAAUUUUGGACAAUGGGCGAAAGCCUGAUCCAGCAAUGCCGCGUGUGUGAAGAAGGCCUUCGGGUUGUAAAGCACUUUUGUCCGGAAAGAAAUGGCUCUGGUUAAUACCUGGGGUCAAUGACGGUACCGGAAGAAUAAGGACCGGCUAACUACGUGCCAGCCGCCGCGGUAA